GACGAACGCUGGCGGCGUGCCUAAUACAUGCAAGUUGAGCGCUGAAGGUUGGUACUUGUACCAACUGGAUGAGCAGCGAACGGGUGAGUAACGCGUGGGGAAUCUGCCUUUGAGCGGGGGACAACAUUUGGAAACGAAUGCUAAUACCGCAUAAAAACUUUAAACACAAGUUUUAAGUUUGAAAGAUGCAAUUGCAUCACUCAAAGAUGAUCCCGCGUUGUAUUAGCUAGUUGGUGAGGUAAAGGCUCACCAAGGCGAUGAUACAUAGCCGACCUGAGAGGGUGAUCGGCCACAUUGGGACUGAGACACGGCCCAAACUCCUACGGGAGGCAGCAGUAGGGAAUCUUCGGCAAUGGACGAAAGUCUGACCGAGCAACGCCGCGUGAGUGAAGAAGGUUUUCGGAUCGUAAAACUCUGUUGGUAGAGAAGAACGUUGGUGAGAGUGGAAAGCUCAUCAAGUGACGGUAACUACCCAGAAAGGGACGGCUAACUACGUGCCAGCAGCCGCGGUAAUACGUAGGUCCCGAGCGUUGUCCGGAUUUAUUGGGCGUAAAGCGAGCGCAGGUGGUUUAUUAAGUCUGGUGUAAAAGGCAGUGGCUCAACCAUUGUAUGCAUUGGAAACUGGUAGACUUGAGUGCAGGAGAGGAGAGUGGAAUUCCAUGUGUAGCGGUGAAAUGCGUAGAUAUAUGGAGGAACACCGGUGGCGAAAGCGGCUCUCUGGCCUGUAACUGACACUGAGGCUCGAAAGCGUGGGGAGCAAACAGG
RNAcentral lists this ribosomal RNA (765 nucleotides) under uncultured Lactococcus sp. RNAcentral describes it as "bacterial SSU rRNA". It matches the Rfam family "Bacterial small subunit ribosomal RNA", at positions 28 to 776 of the family's 1533-position model. The record is from RNAcentral. Lineage: Bacteria; Bacillati; Bacillota; Bacilli; Lactobacillales; Streptococcaceae.